Molecule: ribosomal RNA, 404 nt
Filed under: uncultured Hyphomonadaceae bacterium
Lineage: Bacteria; Pseudomonadati; Pseudomonadota; Alphaproteobacteria; Hyphomonadales; Hyphomonadaceae
Description: bacterial SSU rRNA
Rfam family: Bacterial small subunit ribosomal RNA
Source: RNAcentral
GGGGAAUCUUGGACAAUGGGCGAAAGCCUGAUCCAGCCAUGCCGCGUGAAUGAUGAAGGCCCUAGGGUUGUAAAAUUCUUUCGACGGGGAAGAUAAUGACGGUACCCGUAGAAGAAGCUCCGGCUAACUUCGUGCCAGCAGCCGCGGUAAUACGAAGGGGGCUAGCGUUGUUCGGAAUUACUGGGCGUAAAGCGCACGUAGGCGGAUCGAUAAGUAAGAGGUGAAAUCCCAGAGCUCAACUCUGGAACUGCCUUUUAGACUGUCGAUCUGGAGCAGAGUAGAGGUGAGUGGAAUUCCGAGUGUAGAGGUGAAAUUCGUAGAUAUUCGGAGGAACACCAGUGGCGAAGGCGGCUCACUGGACUCUUGCUGACGCUGAGGUGCGAAAGCGUGGGGAGCAAACAGGA